Molecule: long non-coding RNA, 587 nt
Organism: Mustela lutreola (European mink)
Lineage: Eukaryota; Metazoa; Chordata; Mammalia; Carnivora; Mustelidae
Exons: 3
Source: RefSeq, a predicted model, not a curated record
CAGCACACAAGCAGCAGAAUCCACUGUGUCACUCCCAGAAGAGCAUUCUCCAUGGACUUCUGUGAUGUACUACUGACAAUCAAGCAAGUCCAAAGGAAGUUCCAAGAGUAAGAUGUCAGACAAUAUUCACAGCUUCUCUGCACAUCCACCAGCAAGUCUCCUGGAGAAAGUGGGGGGUGUCCCAUGCCACCACCAGCUGUCGCGUCUCCCAGUCACAUCAGGUAUCUGAGGAGUGGCUACUCAAAGAAUACUGAAACACCUUGGGAUAAUGGAAUCCCUGAGUCAAGAUCCACUGGCAUCAUCUUUUAUUCCUUGCAUGUUACAAGAAUCACCUCCACCCCCAAGAGUGCCCUUGUGUUCUCUGAAGGUGUUUUCAUGAAGACCAAGGAAUACAGAUAAGGAGGUUAUUCUAAGCACAAAGCCUUCUGCCCUCUUCCACUAAGAAAUACACAAAUUUUUAGGAAUUCAUAGUCCCUUAUAAAGGUGGUAGCUGCAGGGUUCCUAAACUCAGGGCAUGGGCCAAAUAGAAAAGAUUUCCCUGUUACCUACAAAUGGGAUCUCUUAGGUGUAUGCCUCCUAGCAUGCCU